Eriocheir sinensis (Chinese mitten crab) is the source of this 2154-nucleotide long non-coding RNA. RefSeq lists it as uncharacterized. The record is from RefSeq and is a predicted model, not a curated record. Lineage: Eukaryota; Metazoa; Arthropoda; Malacostraca; Decapoda; Varunidae. The transcript is spliced from 3 exons.
CAAUACAACAGACACAUUCUUUUCUCUCUUCUUUUUCUUGUUUUCUUUUUUUCGCGUCAGAACACCUGCAACGCACCGCCCGCUUUGUCGUACCAGAAAAUAACUAAUUUUGAUGCCGCGGUGCAUAGAAAAGAGAAAAUGGGAGUGCUGGUACCCGACAGGAGGCGUUAUUUAUAGUGCCGCCUGGAUGUGCCGUGUGUGUGUGUGUGUGUGUCCUCUGAGGGUGAUUUCGUGUUGUUUCUUAUUCGUCCCUGUUCUCAAUGACGCUUUCGGCUCACAACAUCUGCUUCCAAGGGUCAAAAAGGAGGUUAGUCGAGUUAUCAUGAGAGCCUUCACGUUCAGGGUUCAGAGGCCUUGACAAACUACCACUAGGUUCAUACAGCUACUACCCACAACCUCAAUGAAAGCCUUAUUGUAUAUCUGUGUGUGUGUGUGUGUGUGUGUGUGUGUGUGUGUGUGUUUGAAAAUGAUAAGUAAACGAUAAAAAAAACGAGAGAAAAACACCCUCUAUCAAAGCCUUAUCAGAUGUCGGUGUCAAUGCCCUGAAAAUCCGUACGACUCUUUGGCAGAAUUAACGAGAAUUAAACGAGGGAAAAACGAGAGAAAACACGCAUUGGGCGAAACUGAGUGAAAUAUUAUAAAAAAAAAAAAAAAAAUGAAAAUGAUUAGUCAACUAAGUGAGGAUCUAAAGUGCGAGGGAACAGCUGUGCAAAAAGUCGAGGGAAUGUGAAUACAGCUGAUUGGGAAGGGCGAACGUGGCAGACUUGUGUACCGGGGUGUGUUCGGCGAUAAGGAGGCGCCAUGGAGGGAAGGAAAAGGUUAAAACAUGAGAUAGAGAACUUGAGAAUGGAGAAAUUAGUGGAAAUAUGAAUGCAGCUGAUGGGAAGGGCGAACGUGGCGAACUUGUGUACCGGGGUGUGUUCGGCGAUAAGAAGGUGCCAUGGAGGGAAGGGAAAGGUUAAAACAUGAGAUAGAGAACUUGAGAAUGGAGAAAUUAGUGGAAAUAUGAAUGCAGCUGAUGGGAAGGGCGAACGUGGCGAACUUGUGUACCGGGGUGUGUUCGGCGCUGCGUAAGGCCAUAAGGAGCUGGCAGGAGGGAAGGGAAAGGUUAAUACAUGAGAUAGAGAACUUGAGAAUGGAGAAAUUAGUGGAAAUAUGAAUACAGCUGAAUGGGAAGGGCGAACCUGGCAAACUUGUGUACCGGGGUGUGUUCGGCGAUAAGAAGGUGCCAUGGAGGGAAGGGAAAGGUUAAAACAUGAGAUAGAGAACUUGAGAAUGGAGGAAUUAGUGGAAAUAUGAAUACUGCUAAUUGGGCAGAGGCGAAAAAGAGGUGGGAUGAGAUAGAGAAGUGAAAAUAGAAGGAAAGGAAAUUAAGACGAGGGUGCGUGGAGACAUGAUCGAGGUUUAUAAAUGGAUGAAGGGCUUUAAUAAGGGAGACAUUCAUAAGGUUUUGUUGGUAAGAGAACCGGGUAGGACACGAAGUAACGGGUUUAAACUGGAUAAAUUCAGAUUCAACAGGGACAUAGGCAAAAAUUGGUUUACUAACAGGGUGGUGGAUGAGUGGAAUAGGCUUAGCAGUCAUGUGGUGAGUGCCAAUACAAUUGUCACAUUCAAAAAUAGACUAGAUAAAUUCAUGGACAGCGAUAUUAGGUGGGGUUAGAUACACGGGAGCUUAGGGUCAAAGGAUCUGCCUUGUACAGGCCUACCGGCCUCUUGCAGACUCCUGCGUUCUUAUGUUUCUUAUAAAUACAUGAGAGAAAUAUAUGUAAAAAAUAUGUGUAUUGUAACAUCGAUGAAAAUUAAUGAAUAAGUGAAGGAAAACAAACGCUGAAUGCAUGAAAUAGAGAGGAGUGAAGGAAGUAAAAGGGAAGGAAGUAGGCCUUUGUACGUGGGAGAAGGAACGAUGAAUGCAUGAAAUAGAGAGAAGUGAAGGAAAUAAAAGGGAAGGAAGUAGGCCUAUGUACGUGGGAGAAGGAACGAUGAAUGUGUGAAAUAGAGAGAAGUGAAGGAAAUAAAAGGGAAGGAAGUAGGCCUAUGUACGUGGGAGAAGGAACGAUGAAUGCAUGAAAUAGAGAGAAGUGAAGGAAAUAAAAGGGAAGGAAGUAGGCCUAUGUACGUGGGAGAAGGAACGAUGAAUGCAUGAAAUAGAGAGAA